UGAACGCUGGCGGCGUGCCUAAUACAUGCAAGUCGAACGCACAGCGAAAGGUGCUUGCACCUUCAAGUGAGUGGCGAACGGGUGAGUAACACGUGGACAACCUGCCUCAAGGCUGGGGAUAACAUUUGGAAACAGAUGCUAAUACCGAAUAAAACUUAGUGUCGCAUGACACAAAGUUAAAAAGGCGCUUCGGCGUCACCUAGAGAUGGAUCCGCGGUGCAUUAGUUAGUUGGUGGGGUAAAGGCCUACCAAGACAAUGAUGCAUAGCCGAGUUGAGAGACUGAUCGGCCACAUUGGGACUGAGACACGGCCCAAACUCCUACGGGAGGCUGCAGUAGGGAAUCUUCCACAAUGGGCGAAAGCCUGAUGGAGCAACGCCGCGUGUGUGAUGAAGGCUUUCGGGUCGUAAAGCACUGUUGUAUGGGAAGAACAGCUAGAAUAGGAAAUGAUUUUAGUUUGACGGUACCAUACCAGAAAGGGACGGCUAAAUACGUG
This 495-nucleotide ribosomal RNA is filed under the name uncultured bacterium. RNAcentral's name for it is "bacterial SSU rRNA". It matches the Rfam family "Bacterial small subunit ribosomal RNA", at positions 30 to 507 of the family's 1533-position model. The record is from RNAcentral.